Molecule: long non-coding RNA, 1167 nt
Filed under: Parus major (Great Tit)
Lineage: Eukaryota; Metazoa; Chordata; Aves; Passeriformes; Paridae
Description: lncRNA (ENSPMJG00000004649.1)
Source: RNAcentral
AUGUCACAUUCAGCUACUUGGCAGUACACUGUGGAAAAUCACUGGCCUUGUGCUGUUGAGCCAAAUGUAGACCUAUUUGUAUUUUUAAGGGAAUUAGUAUUCUUUUCUCUGUUUAAAACAUUCCUAUUACUCAUAGUGAGUCAAAUCCUGGCCCCAUUUGGAGGGCUGUGCAUAAAUAGGCUGUAUGCACAAAGCAGCUUCAUGGGGAGCACUUUCCAAACCCUUCAUCCACCUGCCUUUUCCCAAGGGAACGAGCAUUCGCCUCCUGCCCUGGCAUUGCCCACAGCUGGCAUUGCUACCCAUGCUGUCCCAGCCUGUCUCCAAGUCCUGUUUAACUCCACUGAGUUCCUCACCUCCUGUCUGGCAGAUGCUCAUGCUGCUGCUCGGGAAGUGCUGCAUGUGUGGAGGAAAAGCACAACCAUGUCCCUUGUGACACAGGAGCAGAAUCACAAGGGGUCAGAUUGGAAAAUCCCUCCGAGAUCGUCGGGUCCGACCUGUUCCCGAUGCCCGCCUUGUCACUCAGACCAGGGCACCGACUGCCACGUCCAGCAGCUCCUGGAACACCUCCUGGGAUGGGGACUCCACCAUCUCCCUGGGGUGCCCCUGCCGAUGUCUGAAAGACUUUGGAGUGGUGUCUCUCGAGGAGACCGGUGCGUGGGCCUCCACAGCUGCAGGUGGUGGUUUGGCAGCCUUGGGGCUCGCUGCCAUCACUGGCACACUGCUGGUGGCUGUCCUGGCACAGCCCCCCGUGCCCGGCCACGGAGGAAGCGCUGCUGGCCCUGGCUGCUGUGGGCUGCUGGAGCCUGCAGGGCUCCGUGUCCAGCCAGCAGAGCUGUGCCCAGGAACACAGACACGGCCUGGCCCGGGGCACGUGCAGGGCAGGGCUUGGGGACCGUGAGGGCAGCCCCAGCUGAUCCCGAGGGAACGGGACAGCUGAGGGAAUGGGGUCACCGGUCUGAGCCCUGGGGUGGUGGGACUUGUCCUCCCCAGUGCCCCCAGUGCCCCCUGGCAUGCCACCAGCGCCCUGGGCAAUCGCAGAGCGGUGCUGCGGUGCACACCUGUGGGACUGGGCAGAACCUAUGGGGAGCAUCAGGUCAACAACAGUAUUUGGGAAUUUCUCAUGUGCUUGGGCUGGUCAAAAUUUGUUCAGACCUAUUUAAAAUGUAG